RNAcentral lists this ribosomal RNA (253 nucleotides) under uncultured bacterium. RNAcentral's name for it is "partial 16S ribosomal RNA". It matches the Rfam family "Bacterial small subunit ribosomal RNA", at positions 524 to 776 of the family's 1533-position model. The record is from RNAcentral.
UACGUAGGGUGCGAGCGUUAAUCGGAAUUACUGGGCGUAAAGCGUGCGCAGGCGGCUUUGCAAGACAGAUGUGAAAUCCCCGGGCUCAACCUGGGAACUGCAUUUGUGACUGCAAGGCUAGAGUACGGCAGAGGGGGAUGGAAUUCCGCGUGUAGCAGUGAAAUGCGUCGAUAUGCGGAGGAACACCAAUGGCGAAGGCAAUCCCCUGGGCCUGUACUGACGCUCAUGCACGAAAGCGUGGGGAGCAAACAGG